This 1003-nucleotide long non-coding RNA is filed under the name Anser cygnoides (Swan goose). RNAcentral describes it as "lncRNA (ENSACDG00005001708.1)". The record is from RNAcentral. Lineage: Eukaryota; Metazoa; Chordata; Aves; Anseriformes; Anatidae.
CUUAGUGAUAUGGUUUAGUGGAGGACUUGUUAGGUCAGAGGUUGGACUGGGUGAUCUUGGAGGUCUCUUCCAACCUAGAUGAUUCUGUGUGAUUCUGUGUGAAAUGCAGUUUAGAAAUGGUACUGAUUAAAAUAGAACAUAUAUAUAUAAAUAUAUAUAUAGCAGAGGGAGCAGUAGAAUAAGCCAUUUUCUUGAGAAACAGAUGAUGAACAAGAUCAGUAACAUAUUUUUUGUCUAAAUCCCAGCAUCAUUCUACUGAAAUACUGUGUUCCAAAAACUCAGCAAAGGCCUGGCUGUCCUAUCAACUUCCUGGUGGUGUUACAGUCACCACUUAAUGAAACCUGACUGAACCUGGUAUAGCCUGCUUCUCUCCAAUAGACUGAAGUUCAAUCUUAAGUCAGAAGAAGAAGAAGAGGGAGGAGGGAGGUGUUCCCAAUGGCAUAAAUCCAACUGAAAGAAGCAAAAGGACAGAAGAUUCAAGCUUGGACUUAUUGGAAAGAGUAAAGGCUAUCUAACCUCCUGGCUUCAAACACCAGACCUAAGGAGAAGUUGUAGAUCUGUACUUAAUAAAGAUGCAAGGAUAUAUUUGUAUGCUAGCUCUGGAACACUAGCUCUGGAAAUUACAAAUGACUUCAGGAUAAAAUGUACACCACAUCAAACACCUUGUGAACAAACUCAUAGAGAACACUUCCAAAACUCCUGAAACACUGAGGCUCUCCAACUGUAUUUUCAGAAGGGAACUUACACAACACCUCUGGAAAACUCACGGCCUGUCCUACAGGGUUUACUCUCAAUAGCCAAAGAAACAGGUGAAGUCAAGUGUCAUUCUUGCUAUUGUUUGACAUUGCAGAUGAGACAGUACAUUAUAGCAGAUAUAUGCUAUUGACAAAGAUUUCUACAGUAAGUGGGAAUGAAUUAUUAAUGACCUUUCACAUUUUUCAUGGGCAUCUUGGUCUAUCAUGUUCAUAAUAAAUAGUUCUUAUUGCAUUGUCUAAAGGAAGUC